UACAGGGGGGGCAAGCGUUGUUCGGAAUUACUGGGCGUAAAGGGCGCGUAGGCGGCCUUCUAAGUCGAACGUGAAAUCCCCGGGCUCAACCCGGGAACUGCGUCCGAUACUGGAAGGCUUGAAUUCGGGAGAGGGAUGCGGAAUUCCAGGUGUAGCGGUGAAAUGCGUAGAUAUCUGGAGGAACACCGGUGGCGAAGGCGGCAUCCUGGACCGGCAUUGACGCUGAGGCGCGAAGGCUAGGGGAGCGAACAGG
This 253-nucleotide ribosomal RNA is filed under the name uncultured bacterium. Its description in RNAcentral is "partial 16S ribosomal RNA". It matches the Rfam family "Bacterial small subunit ribosomal RNA", at positions 524 to 776 of the family's 1533-position model. The record is from RNAcentral.